UGGGGAAUAUUGCACAAUGGGCGCAAGCCUGAUGCAGCGACGUCGCGUGGGGGAUGACGGCCUUCGGGUUGUAAACUCCUUUCGCUAGGGACGAAGCUUUUUGUGACGGUACCUAGAUAAGAAGCACCGGCUAACUACGUGCCAGCAGCCGCGGUAAUACGUAGGGUGCGAGCGUUGUCCGGAAUUACUGGGCGUAAAGGGCUCGUAGGUGGUUUGUCGCGUCGUCUGUGAAAUUCCGGGGCUUAACUCCGGGCGUGCAGGCGAUACGGGCAUAACUUGAGUACUGUAGGGGUAACUGGAAUUCCUGGUGUAGCGGUGAAAUGCGCAGAUAUCAGGAGGAACACCGAUGGCGAAGGCAGGUUACUGGGCAGUUACUGACGCUGAGGAGCGAAAGCAUGGGUAGCGAACAGG
This 411-nucleotide ribosomal RNA is filed under the name Actinomycetes bacterium. Its description in RNAcentral is "Actinobacteria bacterium partial 16S ribosomal RNA". It matches the Rfam family "Bacterial small subunit ribosomal RNA", at positions 355 to 776 of the family's 1533-position model. The record is from RNAcentral. Lineage: Bacteria; Bacillati; Actinomycetota; Actinomycetes.